This 2579-nucleotide ribosomal RNA is filed under the name Staphylococcus aureus. RNAcentral describes it as "partial 23S ribosomal RNA". It matches the Rfam family "Bacterial large subunit ribosomal RNA", at positions 231 to 2810 of the family's 2925-position model. Lineage: Bacteria; Bacillati; Bacillota; Bacilli; Caryophanales; Staphylococcaceae. The record is from RNAcentral.
UCGAUUCCCUUAGUAGCGGCGAGCGAAACGGGAAGAGCCCAAACCAACAAGCUUGCUUGUUGGGGUUGUAGGACACUCUAUACGGAGUUACAAAGGACGACAUUAGACGAAUCAUCUGGAAAGAUGAAUCAAAGAAGGUAAUAAUCCUGUAGUCGAAAAUGUUGUCUCUCUUGAGUGGAUCCUGAGUACGACGGAGCACGUGAAAUUCCGUCGGAAUCUGGGAGGACCAUCUCCUAAGGCUAAAUACUCUCUAGUGACCGAUAGUGAACCAGUACCGUGAGGGAAAGGUGAAAAGCACCCCGGAAGGGGAGUGAAAUAGAACCUGAAACCGUGUGCUUACAAGUAGUCAGAGCCCGUUAAUGGGUGAUGGCGUGCCUUUUGUAGAAUGAACCGGCGAGUUACGAUUUGAUGCAAGGUUAAGCAGUAAAUGUGGAGCCGUAGCGAAAGCGAGUCUGAAUAGGGCGUUUAGUAUUUGGUCGUAGACCCGAAACCAGGUGAUCUACCCUUGGUCAGGUUGAAGUUCAGGUAACACUGAAUGGAGGACCGAACCGACUUACGUUGAAAAGUGAGCGGAUGAACUGAGGGUAGCGGAGAAAUUCCAAUCGAACCUGGAGAUAGCUGGUUCUCUCCGAAAUAGCUUUAGGGCUAGCCUCAAGUGAUGAUUAUUGGAGGUAGAGCACUGUUUGGACGAGGGGCCCCUCUCGGGUUACCGAAUUCAGACAAACUCCGAAUGCCAAUUAAUUUAACUUGGGAGUCAGAACAUGGGUGAUAAGGUCCGUGUUCGAAAGGGAAACAGCCCAGACCACCAGCUAAGGUCCCAAAAUAUAUGUUAAGUGGAAAAGGAUGUGGCGUUGCCCAGACAACUAGGAUGUUGGCUUAGAAGCAGCCAUCAUUUAAAGAGUGCGUAAUAGCUCACUAGUCGAGUGACACUGCGCCGAAAAUGUACCGGGGCUAAACAUAUUACCGAAGCUGUGGAUUGUCCUUUGGACAAUGGUAGGAGAGCGUUCUAAGGGCGUUGAAGCAUGAUCGUAAGGACAUGUGGAGCGCUUAGAAGUGAGAAUGCCGGUGUGAGUAGCGAAAGACGGGUGAGAAUCCCGUCCACCGAUUGACUAAGGUUUCCAGAGGAAGGCUCGUCCGCUCUGGGUUAGUCGGGUCCUAAGCUGAGGCCGACAGGCGUAGGCGAUGGAUAACAGGUUGAUAUUCCUGUACCACCUAUAAUCGUUUUAAUCGAUGGGGGGACGCAGUAGGAUAGGCGAAGCGUGCGAUUGGAUUGCACGUCUAAGCAGUAAGGCUGAGUAUUAGGCAAAUCCGGUACUCGUUAAGGCUGAGCUGUGAUGGGGAGAAGACAUUGUGUCUUCGAGUCGUUGAUUUCACACUGCCGAGAAAAGCCUCUAGAUAGAAAAUAGGUGCCCGUACCGCAAACCGACACAGGUAGUCAAGAUGAGAAUUCUAAGGUGAGCGAGCGAACUCUCGUUAAGGAACUCGGCAAAAUGACCCCGUAACUUCGGGAGAAGGGGUGCUCUUUAGGGUUAACGCCCAGAAGAGCCGCAGUGAAUAGGCCCAAGCGACUGUUUAUCAAAAACACAGGUCUCUGCUAAACCGUAAGGUGAUGUAUAGGGGCUGACGCCUGCCCGGUGCUGGAAGGUUAAGAGGAGUGGUUAGCUUCUGCGAAGCUACGAAUCGAAGCCCCAGUAAACGGCGGCCGUAACUAUAACGGUCCUAAGGUAGCGAAAUUCCUUGUCGGGUAAGUUCCGACCCGCACGAAAGGCGUAACGAUUUGGGCACUGUCUCAACGAGAGACUCGGUGAAAUCAUAGUACCUGUGAAGAUGCAGGUUACCCGCGACAGGACGGAAAGACCCCGUGGAGCUUUACUGUAGCCUGAUAUUGAAAUUCGGCACAGCUUGUACAGGAUAGGUAGGAGCCUUUGAAACGUGAGCGCUAGCUUACGUGGAGGCGCUGGUGGGAUACUACCCUAGCUGUGUUGGCUUUCUAACCCGCACCACUUAUCGUGGUGGGAGACAGUGUCAGGCGGGCAGUUUGACUGGGGCGGUCGCCUCCUAAAAGGUAACGGAGGCGCUCAAAGGUUCCCUCAGAAUGGUUGGAAAUCAUUCAUAGAGUGUAAAGGCAUAAGGGAGCUUGACUGCGAGACCUACAAGUCGAGCAGGGUCGAAAGACGGACUUAGUGAUCCGGUGGUUCCGCAUGGAAGGGCCAUCGCUCAACGGAUAAAAGCUACCCCGGGGAUAACAGGCUUAUCUCCCCCAAGAGUUCACAUCGACGGGGAGGUUUGGCACCUCGAUGUCGGCUCAUCGCAUCCUGGGGCUGUAGUCGGUCCCAAGGGUUGGGCUGUUCGCCCAUUAAAGCGGUACGCGAGCUGGGUUCAGAACGUCGUGAGACAGUUCGGUCCCUAUCCGUCGUGGGCGUAGGAAAUUUGAGAGGAGCUGUCCUUAGUACGAGAGGACCGGGAUGGACAUACCUCUGGUGUACCAGUUGUCGUGCCAACGGCAUAGCUGGGUAGCUAUGUGUGGACGGGAUAAGUGCUGAAAGCAUCUAAGCAUGAAGCCCCCCUCAAGAUGAGAU